This 205-nucleotide ribosomal RNA is filed under the name uncultured bacterium. Its description in RNAcentral is "partial 16S ribosomal RNA". It matches the Rfam family "Bacterial small subunit ribosomal RNA", at positions 524 to 729 of the family's 1533-position model. The record is from RNAcentral.
UACGUAGGGGGCUAGCGUUGUCCGGAAUCAUUGGGCGUAAAGAGCGUGUAGGCGGCUCGGUAAGUCCGCUGUGAAAGUCCAGGGCUCAACCCUGGAAUGCCAGUGGAAACUGUCGAGCUAGAGUCCGGAAGAGGCGAGUGGAAUUCCUGGUGUAGCGGUGAAAUGCGCAGAUAUCAGGAGGAACACCAAUGGCGAAGCAGCUCGC